This 485-nucleotide ribosomal RNA is filed under the name uncultured bacterium. Its description in RNAcentral is "partial 16S ribosomal RNA". It matches the Rfam family "Bacterial small subunit ribosomal RNA", at positions 899 to 1397 of the family's 1533-position model. The record is from RNAcentral.
ACUCAAAUGAAUUGACGGGGACCCGCACAAGCGGAGGAUGAUGUGGUUUAAUAUGACGGUACGCGUAGAACCUUACCGAGGCUUGACAUCCCUGGAACCCGCUGGAAACAGUGGGGUGCCGCAAGGAACCAGGUGACAGGUGCUGCAUGGCCGUCGUCAGCUCGUGUUGUGAAAUGUUGGGUUAAGUCCCGCAACGAGCGCAACCCCUAUCGUAUGUUGUAUUUUUCAUGCGAGACUGCCCGGGCCAACCGGGAGGAAGGUGGGGUCGAAGUCAGGUCGGCAUGGCCCUUACGCCUCGGGCCACACACGUCAUACAAUGGCCGGUACAACGCGCCGCGAAGCCGCAAGGCGGAGCUAAUCGUAUCAAAACCGGUCUCAGUUCGAAUAGGAGGCUGCAACUCGCCUCCUUGAAGUCGGAUUCGCUAGUAAACGUGGGUCAGCACACCACGUUGAAUACGUUCCCGGGUCUUGCACACACCGCCCGU